Molecule: long non-coding RNA, 1024 nt
Organism: Canis lupus familiaris (dog)
Lineage: Eukaryota; Metazoa; Chordata; Mammalia; Carnivora; Canidae
Exons: 4
Source: RefSeq, a predicted model, not a curated record
GCUGUGAAACAAAGAUCGGAAAGAAAUGGAGCAAUAUGGAGAUCCAUCCAGCAUGAUAUAUACACAUAUCUGAUGGAGACUAAACAAAUUCAAAUCCAGUGCUUCCUAAAACAACCUCCUCUCAUUCUACGGUGGUAGACCUCAUAUGGAACACAAUACAGACCCCUGCGUUUCUGCAUCUGCACUGUCACAAGUCUGGUCAAAGUUGUUUGACGGUCCUUAGGAAAAGUACCAACUCUUCUUAGAUCUGUAAGAGAAGUGAGGUCAGAGGACAAAGUGCUGCCCCCAAACUGAGACCAGCAGUUUAGAUGUCUUCUUGCAAGUUCUGCCAAACUCUUUGUGGAACAGUUGACAGAAAAAAAGAAAAAAAAAAGAGAGAGAGAGAUAAAUAAUAGGACUCUCAUGUUAGAAAAUCUGGAAAUGGAGGGUUCUUCAAGGUCCUAUAAACUGCACCAGGCAGAUGUGACAAGAGCCUGGUCCUCAGGCUCCAGGACGUUUUCUGCUCUGGCUGUUCUUCCCAAGCCCUGUUUCCUUCCUUCUGCUCAGGAUGAUGGGCUCCCAGAUAUGGGGAACCAGCAGGGAAAACAGUGCUGAAUAGGAAUAUGCAGCAGGUCCUCAGUGAGCCUCAUUUCAUAAAUUGGUUUCUUGGCAAUCUACAUUCUAAUUUUUCAUCAGUUCAUGGUUGUACUCUUGACAGCCUCACUUCAGCUAGAAUCUCCAGGGAUUGGACAACAGUUCAGAAAGAUGGGCCAAAUAGAUAGGAUUCAUUCUUUGGAUUUAGAAAGGAAAAAGCAAGAAAUCUUGGAUAUGUUUAUGAAACUUCUGAUGUACCAUUUGCAUGUCAGUAGGCUUAUUUAAUUCCUCCUCAUGCUUUUGUGUUUCCCACCCCAAUAUAUACGUUGCUUGUGUUUUUGCUUCAGGAAGUCAAAUAUACUCAAUAAAAAUGACCAAGAUAUGUCUGUCUACCCUCAAGCACACACACCCACACCUUUAUAGAGAUGCCAAGAAUUACCAUUUUAUCUAA